CCAAAGGCUCUUUUCAGAGCCACUUAAUUUCGUUAAGAAAGAGGUGG
Canis lupus familiaris (dog) is the source of this 47-nucleotide non-coding RNA. The record is from Rfam. NCBI's taxonomy places the organism in Eukaryota, Metazoa, Chordata, Mammalia, Carnivora, Canidae.